CCUCCUUAUACGAUUUAGAACUUAUUUGUUCGUAGUGUCCACACAGAUGAUUGUUAGUUAAAUGACUUAGGUCGUUUAAUUAAUAUUGCUCUUUAAAAAUUUGGAAAAGCUGAUAAAUAAAUUCUUAUAGAUAUUUAUAUCUAUAAAGAGUUUUCAAAAGUAAAACAAUGCCAAUUAAUCAAUGAUUAAUUAGCAUCUACUUUAGUAUUCAAUAUUAACUUCUGGCGAAGUUUAAACUGUCUUUGACACAUACACCUCAAAUUAAUAAACCAUUUUGGGUUGUAUGGUUAAGUGACUAANCGUAUACGGUGGAUGCA
This 317-nucleotide unclassified non-coding RNA is filed under the name uncultured Pseudoalteromonas sp. Its description in RNAcentral is "partial 16S-23S ribosomal RNA intergenic spacer". The record is from RNAcentral. Lineage: Bacteria; Pseudomonadati; Pseudomonadota; Gammaproteobacteria; Alteromonadales; Pseudoalteromonadaceae.